GAAUAUUGGACAAUGGGCGAAAGCCUGAUCCAGCCAUGCCGCGUGAGUGAAGAAGGCCUUCGGGUUGUAAAGCUCUUUUGUUGGGAAAGAAAAGCAGCCGGUUAAUACCCGGUUGUUCUGACGGUACCCAAAGCAUAAGCACCGGCUAACUUCGUGCCAGCAGCCGCGGUAAUACGAAGGGUGCAAGCGUUACUCGGAAUUACUGGGCGUAAAGCGUGCGUAGGUGGUUCGUUAAGUCUGAUGUGAAAGCCCUGGGCUCAACCUGGGAAUUGCAUUGGAUACUGGCGGGCUAGAGUACGGUAGAGGGUGGCGGAAUUCCUGGUGUAGCAGUGAAAUGCGUAGAUAUCAGGAGGAACAUCCGUGGCGAAGGCGGCCACCUGGACCAGUACUGACACUGAGGCACGAAAGCGUGGGGAGCAAACAG
RNAcentral lists this ribosomal RNA (424 nucleotides) under uncultured bacterium. RNAcentral describes it as "bacterial SSU rRNA". It matches the Rfam family "Bacterial small subunit ribosomal RNA", at positions 359 to 775 of the family's 1533-position model. The record is from RNAcentral.